Hylaeus volcanicus is the source of this 833-nucleotide long non-coding RNA. RefSeq lists it as uncharacterized. The transcript has 3 exons. Lineage: Eukaryota; Metazoa; Arthropoda; Insecta; Hymenoptera; Colletidae. The record is from RefSeq and is a predicted model, not a curated record.
CAAAUUUUCAUAUAUGUAUAUGCACAUUAAACAUAGUAUGAAAAAAGUUCUGAAUCUAGUUUUCAACCAGCAAAUUAUCUUCGUAAAUACUGUGAAUUUGUAAUAAUUUAGAAAUAAAAGGGUUGGAUAACAACGUCCAAUCUCGCGACCGAGUUGUAUAACCGUAAUCGUAAUGCAGUUGCAACGUUUUCACGGGCAGAUAAUAAUCUUAGUGGAACCAGCGCGAACUCGAUAGCCGAUACACGAGGUGGUGCAUAUUUCUCCGCGUUCGUAGAAUUGAGCCGUGUGCGGGACCGCAAUCUGGAGUAAACGGUUCGAUACCAAUGAAAGCCUCGAAAAGGACUACGAGGACGUGGCUACAGGCACGAGAUGGCCAACACUCUCGAGACAGCUUUCAAAAACUUCCGUCGUUGAGAGAGUCGUCGCGGGAGGACGACUAGAAGAAAACUAACUAUGGCAAACGAAACAGCGUUACAAAAUCUUCGAUGGAGAGCAGCUAACGGAAUCGCCGAAUUGCGUGUUCCCCUGCGGGCGGCUGUCGUGAUCCAAUCGCGGUGUACCAAUGCACAAAUCACAAGCACAGUCCCCGUCACGACCAGAAACGAUCACAUCACACGCGAGAUCACGUUCCACGCUGGGAUCGAUCGAUCGUCGAUCAUCGACGACGCUGGCGGAUAUCAACGAGUACGCGAUCGACGAAGGUUUUAGGUAUUCGUCGUUGGCGAAAAUUGUUGCGAAUGGCUGGUGGAAUUAGAACGAUGACGAUGAUGGCGCACUUGAAUACGUACCGUCGCGACGGUGUGCAUUGUGUUCCAGGUGGUGAGUUGUGUUAG